Molecule: long non-coding RNA, 26331 nt
Filed under: Hordeum vulgare
Lineage: Eukaryota; Viridiplantae; Streptophyta; Magnoliopsida; Poales; Poaceae
Description: long non-coding RNA (HVUL_LNC004281)
Source: RNAcentral
GUGAACACUCACUUUAUACUGAUAUACGAAGCAAAUACAGAAUUUGGGUACAAGACCAUGAAGGUCUAUGAGGGGAGGUUGGACAAAAAUGUCUAGAGACUGACGGCGGAAGCGACUCGUGGAAUCUCCAGUGUUCAUGGGCUCCGUUGCCACAAGAACAGUUGACCUGGAUACUUCCUAUCUCACAUGGAUACUAUCCUCAACUCUCAGGUUCCGAGGUUACUAUCAUCGUGCUCCUCUCCAGAUAUGCGAUCUGGACAAGACAAUAGCCAAGGACAAGUUAGUGAGUACUUUGAAUGUACUCGCAAACAUCAACAAGACACAUAAGUAAAAGCAGGUGAGAUGCAUGCACACACAUUUUAAUACCACCUGAUAUGCCACAAGAUUAAAUUCGUGGGUUCAGUUAUGUAGUUAAAUAAUUUCUACUCAUGACGUAUAAUAAAGCCCCCCCCCCCCCAUAGCUAAUUUAAAGGUGUCAAACGGGCGUCGAAGGCAACACCUCGUAAGCACACACAUUAUAAGCCACAAUCGAGCAUCUGGGCGAGACCGCAUAGAGGGCUUACAAUGAGAUAAUGACAUGUGUGUGGUAGUUGGGCAAUUGGGACGACUCCACAAAAAGGGCUUAUGACAUAUAAUAAUGAUGAACAUAAUUACAUGCAUGUUACAAUCGGGCAUCUAAGAGACAGCACAUAAAGAGCUUAUAUAAAAGUACUAGCAGUUUCCACACUCGGGCGUCUACGUAAUACCAUGGAAAGAGUUUUAUUGGAAGUACUAACAAUUGCCAUAGUCGAGCGUUGUUCGGGCUGGGCACACCAACGUGAUCAAGGGGAAGGGGUUCGUCUUCUAGAGGGUGUUGGGGUUGCUGGAGAGCUCGGGACUGAGCACGACUUCAACCAGGCGGAUGGAUGCCUUCGGCAAUCAUAGCUCCACCUGCGGCUUGCCACCUAUGGAAAUGGGCAUGGGGAUGGGUUGUAGUGUCGUGGGCAAACAUACCGGGGCUAUGGUCGGUUGGUUCAGUCUAGGGUUCGUCGGAAUUCGGCCGGACAUUGGCGGCGGUGAAACUGCCGGAGGCGAGCAAGGAAGGUGGCUCCGACCAAAUUGGAGCUAGGGGGAGAUGGCUGCAGGUCUAGGGUGUUGGUGGGUUACUGGGUGUUCUCGGGGCCUCCCUUUAUAGCCAGGCAGUGGUGGUUCCGUUGCGGCCCGAGGAUAAGAUCGCCGACGCAAAUUCUGGCGAUGGCCGGGGAGGUAGGGCUAGUUUGGUGGGGUUUGGAGUUACCAGACUGAUGCAACAGUGGUCCAGGGGGUUAGCUCGCGCAUGGGGAAGGCUUGGGGGAUGCUGGCCACUCUUGCGUUAGAAGCAGAAGCCGGCUAGCCACCAGGGUUGCGGUGGCUGAUGCUCUGAGCGGUACAGGGUAGUGGCGACACGCGGUCAGCCUGGCAUGCAACAUGUGUGCACUACAGGCGGCCACAUGGGCGGGGGCAGGUGGACGCAGCAACUCGGGGGCAGUGCAUGCAGAACUUGCGCUCUAGCCACACACAGAGCAUGCGCGACACCUAUUCAACAAAAUGCCAGACCCACCUAAGGGAAUUUUCUAACAAUGAAAAUUGGGGGGCUAAGGUUGCUUUAGAUGCUAAAGAUAGUGGUGAGGUUAGUUUGGCAAAAACAAAAACUUGCUAAUGCAAAUUUUGGAGAAAAACAAAUCUGGUCAGAAAAUGUAGGCUGUUAUUCCAUGCACUUAAAAUAAUUCAAUGGAGCUCAACUUCUAGACUUAAGGGUUUGGUAGGGGGAUAUAUAAGUUGAAAAAAUUUAGGGCCAUGUGAGCAAGAUAAAAUAGGGCUGUUGUUCAAAAUGCGAAUCCGGUCAAUAAUGGAAAUGAGGAAGUGCUGCAUGAAUUUUUGAAAGGACAACCAUGAGAUUUUGCAUAAAAGUGAAUCAUAAAUAUCCCUUGACAUCUCCAAUUUUUUGUGGAAUUUUUAAAUAAUUUUAUGAAACGGUUGUAGUGCAAAGGAGGCUCUCAAAAUGAUGAAAAUAUCUUUAAAAGGAAUUAAUUGUCAAAAAAAUUAUUAUAAAAUUGUCUCCCUUAAAUUAGUAAAAUGGAAGGAAACAAUUUCAAACAAUUACUCAAGCACACAAUGAUCUUCAAAAGUGCUACUUGGAGAGAAAAGUUCUUGGGAAGAGGCUUUGAAAUGAGCAAAGAGGCAAUUUAUUUUUCAAAUUUUUUAUUCCAUGCAAUUUUUUAAUCAGUAAAAAAGUGAUUAAAUUUUUGGGGUGUGACAUGGUCGCCAUGUCUUGAUGGUGCGCGCUUGUCCACUUGCGUGUGGGUGUUGCGUGAAAAGUACAUGCACCAGGUCCUUGAUGAGGUGAUGCAUGUGUGGAUUGUGCCCAUGAGCGAGAACUUGGUUCUAUAGGCUCCCAGCUCUGCCAGGGCAGACCCAGGCCAAGGCACCAUGCCCAGCCUUGCGAGUGCGAGGCCCAGGAUAAACUGGCGGGCACGUGCCACAGGGUCAGUCCCUUGUUGUCUUCGUCGUCCCCUAGGACGCGGUAUGGGGCUUCCGCUGGGUCCGGGCGUGGUAAGAAAAGAGGAAACCAAGGAAAUUCCACAAAACCCACAAGACAAAAACUUUCAUCAAAAAACCCGAGGCUAACUUGUUAGCGAGUCCAAAAAGGGGGGUGUGGCUUGUCGUAUCUAACAUGGGUCAGCCUGGUGGGCUCGUUCAUAGGUUGAAGAAAAAGGCGAAUAAAACGGUUCUCGUAUGCAUCACGGGUCAACCUAGAAAGAAAAGCGAUUGCUGUAUCCAGCAUGGGUCAACCUAAAAAAAGAGGUGCGACUCGCGAGGCAUCUUCUUCGAUCAUAUUGUUCCACCAGCGGGGAGCAUAGGGACUUCCAAUUGGGUGUGGGCGAGGGCCCUCCACCAAGGCCACGACGCGACUCAUCGUGCGGUUCCACUUAGGAGGCCCCUGGGCGUGUAAAGCCCCAAAACUCAUUAUUCCGUGUGAGUGUAACGGGCGCCGAUAGUUGGGCGGAUACCCUAGGCACAAGGCUUAGGAGUUCCUAACCGAGUCUUCAAGUGCGCUCCUAUGGCCCAAGCAUGAGUGUCGUCCCCGCCAUGCAUAACCCUAGGAGUGCCAUUGCAUGCUCCUAAAGCCCAAUCAUGAGUGCCAUUCACACCCCGCAUAGCCGUAAGAGCACGUUAUCAAGAGAGUCAUCAUGUGAGGUUGCGAGGCGCCCAUCCAGCAGAAGGGCGAGCCGAGUGAUGUCCCCUUCAUCUGUUCGCGAUGGCUUGUCGAGAGGGUGCGAUACUAAGGACCUUGGUGAGAUGGCUAGCACGGGUGGCCAACUCGUGAUCCAAACCUCGGUCACUUAGAUUUCUCGGCGCUGUGAGGACAAGUCCUCCACAGACGCCAUGUGUAAGACCUCACCGUCAAUCCUUCCCUAGGCGGUUGCAGGGGAGCGUCAUCCCCCGGCGCCGUUGGAACACCACAGCUCGAAGUUAAGACAAACUACACCAUCUCCAGUGAAGGUUAUUUGGGUUUGUUACACAUCCAAUAAACGCCCACUCGAGGCGAGACAAAAUACACGGAACUGCCUGGGUCAAGCAUCCCAAUAAGUCACCUGGCGGCCAUGCUGCUGCAGGAGCAUCAGGCCGCUUGACGACGCGUGCUGCCGAGGCCAUCCCUUAUGGAAGGGGAGGGCGACUCGCUCCGGAAGCUUCAACACCUUAGGGGAUGACUCAUGAGUCCUCACGGGCCUGCGGGGUUCGGCGCUUCACGAGGCGUGCACGACCACACCUCUUGCAGCUUGCUAGUCUAUUGAACGAUGAACUCCCGCAUCCUUGGCGCCCUACACCAUGCUUCUAUCAUGUGGCGGAGUUGGCCGAGGUGCGCCACCACAUUGUUUCCAAGUGCCGAUACGUCGUGCCGGCUAAGCCACGCGACUCCUAGCCGGGAGCCCCCAAGCCUGGCCUGAUGAGGGUGUCGGGCGUAGCAUCCUAUGCCCGAGGGAGGUGCACACCGAUCGAAGGCGCGAGGUGCGGGGCGCCGACGCUAGCCACGGCACUCCCUGGCCCGUCGGAGCAAACGGGGCCCGGUGUGAGGCAGUGUAAUCGCAUUUGACAGAUCCGCCUACCCGGCAGUCCUCCGUGUUAUGGGUGUGUGCAUUGUUGUGAGCAUAGAACAUCACGCUGAACCUUCUGGGCGUGCCCCCGCGGUAGCUCGGCGGCGGCCGAGAGCCGGCCACCAGGAUCCGGAGGAACAAGAGCAUGGCGGCGAGCGUACCUCGCUCGGGCCCUUCAAGCUGAGGCCCAAGCGAAUCGUCGCGUUGUGGUGGAGGUGGCUCAUUGGNNNNNNNNNNNNNNNNNNNNNNNNNNNNNNNNNNNNNNNNNNNNNNNNNNNNNNNNGAGCGUCGGCCAUGGGGUCGGUGAAGCUGGAGUGAAACAGGAGAUGAAGAGCGUCUAUGCACCCCUACGUGGCGUGCUAAAUGUUAGAAUCGGGGCUCCGCUGACCCAAAAAAGGUUUGAACUCUAGGGUGCGCUCUGUUUCCAACCUUGUUCUAUCUCUCAACUUCAUGGCUACUCUUCGGCAUCUCUAGCUAAGGAAGGCGAUCAAGAACACACGAGUAGUUUACCCAGGUUCAGGCCACAUUGCGAUGUGAAACCCUACUCCUGCUUGUUUGGAUUGCUUGAGAUGGAAUACGAGUAUAAAUGGGGGUUCUUGCCCUAGUCGAGAAUAACCAGGAUGCCAUCUCCCGCGCUACGGAGGCUGGGCCUCUCUUUUAUACUAGCCUUGGUCCUCUUCCCCGAAAACACAAUUGGCAGGAAGGGUUGCCACAAAGGCAAUUUUGAAAGGGGGCGGGACUGCGGCCUGCCCUGACAAAGGUGGUCUUCGCCUGCAAAAACCAUUCUCCAUGACGCGUUGACGGGCUCGGGGUGACCUCCAUCCUGCCAAGACCCCAGCCUUGGUCCUCUUGCAACAAUCAGGAAACCUUUGGGAGAUGCUCUAGGUGCCCGCCAGCGGGCUACAUUUCUUUAGCAUGAAAGUGGAAAUCCUCCCUGUCCAUGCUUGCUAGCACCAUUCCUGCGCCGCCUGCGCGACCUACGUCACUGUAGGAUCCGAAGUAUGUCUAUAGGUAAUGAUUAGACUACUUGACAUGAUAGAAAACUUAUCUUUUUCCCAAUUUCAGUUGUGCGGUAGUUUUGGCAAUUAUGACUAGUCAAUUUCACCCUACACAUGUAUAACUAAGAGUGCAACAGUGCAAAGUAAAGACAUGCAAAUGUAAUGUAGAGGGUGGGGUAGGAAAAUCAAACGCAAAUGUUGACACAAGAAUUUUUGGUGUGGCUCCGAUAGGUGGUGCUAUUGUACGUCCAUGUUAGUGGAGAUUGCAAUGCACACAGGCUAAUGUUUGUGAGACUCCACGGAGGGCUCCACCCAUAAGGGGUCCACGAAAAAGCGGUCUUGUCUAUUCCGCCAUGGCUUAUGUCCACACAGGACUAGCCUCACUCACGGUAGAACUUCCCGAACUAGGCGCUCUCCUUGCCCUUACAAACUUCUUGGUUCAACACAACAACACGAAGUAGGAGGUUCCCAAGCAACACCUAACCAAUCUAGGAGGCACCACCCUCCAAAAGGUAAUGUAUGUGAUAGAACGAUGGACUCCGUGCUCUUGUUGUUCAAAAAAUAGUCUCCUCAACACUCAAUAACUCUAUCACAGAUUUGGCAUGGGUAGGAGAGAUUGAUUUUGUGGAAAGCAACUUGAGGAGGCUAUAGAUCAAGUUUCAAAUGGUUGGAUUGGAAUCUCUUGAUCUCAACACAUAAGUAGGUGACUCUCUCUUAGAAAAAUGGAUUUGGCAAGUGUAAGUGUGUUCUGAGUGCUUCCUCUUUGAACGAGUGGAGGUGGAUGGGGUAUAUAUAAGCAUCCCCCAAAAUCCAACCAUUACAACACUAUUUCCGAACUCACUGACACCAAAAAGAAUCUCGAUGGUACCGAGUUGCACGAGAGGGGGGGGGGGGGGGGGGGACUAAUAUAUGAAUCUCGUUGGUACUGAUAUGAUGACCUGGACCAGUUUCCAAAUCUCGGUGAGACCUAUUCCAAUCUCGGAAAUUCCGAUUCUUGAAAUUUUCCCAAUGGAAAGUUGGUCACUGAAUCAAGGUGGCACCGAUAUGAAAGUUGGUGGUACCGAGAGAUUAGGGUCUGGCAAAGGAACCGUCUGGUGGAAAAUUGGUAGGGCCGAGUGAAAAAAGUUGGUCGCACCGACUUUGCUGGUUUUCUUUGGAUAGAGACAUUUUGUGGGAGAAUAGUUGAAGAUUUUUGGUGACUACCUCUAAGCACUUGAGCAAUCAAUUCAUCAUAAUACCUCGCCCCUUUUAAUUGUAUUGGCUUUACUAUGGAGUCAAAGUGAUUUCUCAGAAAUGUAGAAUGUAGAGUCUUCUUGCUUGAAGCUUGAGCCGAUCCUAUUCCUUUGCUUCAUCAAGGGGUUUCUCCUCACAAUCCUUUAGACAAGGCGUCUUUGAACUUUUUUGAAGUAUACUUGGAUAAGAUCAUUAGUCCAAUGAUGCAUAUGUUGUGAUCAUUUAUCAAAACCACCUUAGGGAGCAAUUGUGUCACACCCUGUGUUUUACCACUUUGCUACAUUAUGUUUUUGCAAAAUUUGGAACCAAUUUAAACUUUUUGAGUGCUUGUGAUGGUUGUUUUGAUUGCAACAUGCUUGUGUGAUUGAUUGUGUUCUAUGUUACCAAAGUUAUUAUUCUCUCCAAAACUUGCUCUCCUUGAUCCAAACCCUUAACCAAUGACCAUGCCAUGUGUGUAGGACAAUGAACUAUUGUUAUAAAAAUGUUAUCUCAACAGAAGGGCAUUUAUUUAUUUUAGAAGUUUCAAAACCCCUAAAUUGGGAUUUUCACUACAAGUCCCUAAUUUAGGAGGGAUGUUCUACCCCAAAGAUUUUAUUUUGAUUCUAUUAUCAAAAUGAUUUCCCAAAACCACAAAAUAAUUAUUUUAAAUGUUAUUUUCCUAUUUUAUUUAAACACCAUUUUCUUGCGUUGAAAAUAUUUGGGAAAAUAUAGGGAAACUCAAUGGACAUAUAUUUUCCAUAGACAUGAGUUUCAACACAUGGUGAUGUUCAAAAUAUCGGACAAAACCCCUCAAAACCCUUUCUGCCUAUUUCAAGAUUUUGAAAUAUUUCCAAACGAAAUACUCUCAAUAAAUUCCAGGAAAAUUCUACCAAGUCACCUAUGGUAUAGGUGGUGACCCUGCAAAAUUUCAUCUCAAUCCAAGUUGAUUUGGUUCACCUAAGAACCUCAAAACCCUCUCCGUCCAGAGCCAAAUAUGAGCAAUUUCACAUUGCCAAGUUUAUCCAAUUGAUCUCAAAUUUUAUAUAGGUGAUCUAGGCCCCAAAUAAGGAUGCUACACCAAGUUCUAAAUGUGUGGGCUUGAUUUGGUCACCAAAGUAAUCACGAAUAUGAUUCUGUCAAUUCUUGGGUAUUUUCAUGUUUACAUUGCCAACUUUGCUCAAAUGAGCUGACACUUGGUGAACACUCUUGGUUUCUACCACAGUGCAAUACUGUUAGCUUUCACAACAAUUGGGUCAAGGUAACUUGCCCAAGCAAUCAUCAAACACCUUCCACUAGUUUGGUAAAAUUGCUACGUUCACCACCUUUUCUCAUCUCCUUCAUUUCAAUUUUCUACGACAGCUUCUCGUGGUGAUGCUCUCCACCCUAGUAACUAUCCCACGUCCAUAGCUCAAUUAUUGGUGGUGUAAAAACCCCAAUUGCCCUCCUGGACAACAAGAUUUCAUCUCUCUCUCCACUCCUCCCUCUCUCUCUCUGUCGAAUCUCGAGAGCAUCCAAAGCCUUUGCCCACUUGUUUAAUUCCCCCUUGAUCCCCUAGACACGCUUGGCCACGCAAAACUUGUCUUUGGCACGCCUGGUAUGCAAUUCUCUGGAGCGCGGUAUAGUGCCCAGCUGCAUUAUAGCCGCCCUCUGACCGACGCUGCCGACCGCCUAGAGCCACUCCAUAACGAUAGUCGUGGCGUGUGGGCAUCACGACCAUCUCCCCUAUCGCCCCUCCUCUCUCUCUCCAACGGACAUCCCCGACGUGCCCGAGCAUCGCCCAAUUCGGCCAACCACAGGCCUCACGCGCGCAGGUCACCACACUCCCUCUCUUAUCUCCCCUUCGCCCUGAACUGACUGCAUGAACUCCCUAGACACAUUCUAGCUCACCCCUUGCCCCUUGUCCUCGACCUCAAGCUUGCCAGUGCACCAAGCCUUCGGUGCACCGCAACCACUCCUAUUUAAAGGCCCCUAGGCCUCUCUCCUUCCCUUCUUCUCUCACCCAACCCCAAUCGCACCCUUGCAACAGUCCCACUCCACUCCUCCCUCUAUGUGCUCGGAAUUGAGCUCGGCACCCCUUCUUCGGCCACCAUUGAUUCCCCAUGGUAGGAUGCCGCUCUGGCCAUUCUUUCUCUCCCUCUAGAACGACAACUCGAAUCUAAUACCUCCCCCUCUAUUUCCCCGUCGGUUUGCUGCAGGAAACCACUCCCGCGACUCCUUCCCGAAGCUCCUCCGCCGCGGGUGACCGUCGCUGGUGACAUCCUGCACCUCCGGCCUUCCUUCGACCACUAGCAUAAUGACGGUACCAUUCUGAGUCAGUUCCCGCCUCUUGCUUCCCUCGCCAUCACCGAAAUUGUCGCUGGUGAGCUUCCCCUCACCCCUGUCGGGAGGUAGAAGACGACCGCAGGGUGGGACCCGCACGUCAGCCUCUCCUUCCUCUCAUCUCUCUCGCUGGCAGGGCACGCAUGUAGGUUAAAAAUAAACCUACCACGCGCGCAAGCCCUUACACGCGUGGGCUGCUUUAUCUAGGCCGGCCCAGUUGCUAGCGCCUAUGGCCACUCUGAGGCCCCCCUCCCUUUCUUUUUCCCUUUUCCAUUUCUUUAUAUUUUGGAAAAUUUCCACAGAAGCCAAAAUGCAUCCAAACCAUUUAUUCGUUCACCACAAAUAUUGUAAUAUUGUGUAGUAUUUAAUAACAUCACUUGAGUAAUUUUACAGAAACUUUUAUACACUGUUUUAUUUUAGAAUCUAGUUUCAAACAUUUUUACCUUUUGUUAAAAUGUUUUUCACAACUUUUUACACCUCAAAAAUAAAACCUAGGUAUUUUUACAAUACCUACAAUCACCCUAGUAUUUUACAAAAAAGAGUGACAUUUUUCUGAGUAAAUUAUUUUCCCUAUUUGGUGGUGUUCUUAUAUUUGCCCGUUAAUUUUGCAAUGAUAGAUUGCGUUGUUGACGAAGGACUUGGACGAGAAGAUUUUGAAGUCCCCGGAGACUUUGUUGAGCAAGGUAAGCAACCCUUGGACCAUGUCUAGAAAACCAUUUACUUUUGCAUGAGAUGUAGCACUAUAUUUCAUUGCAUUGGAUUCAUGUUGAGUCGGUGACCACCUUGGUGGGUUGUCCCCGAGAACCCCUCGUUGAUACUUGCACGUGAGCAUGACCCUACCACCUAUGAGGGUUGUGAAGGUGGGAAGUAGCUAGGAUGCCAAUAGCCGCUACGCAAAUGGGACGGUAUUAUGCAUGAGACAAACAAAGAAAUGAUUUUUGAGGCUUUUCAAAAACCCCGUCGGGUGACAAAAAUGCCCGAGGGAGAAUGUGUGAGAAUGGGUGACCACUUGAGGAAUAAGUUGCGUACCGAGAAAACUUUUGUGUGAGUGGUUUCGGAAACGGGAUUAGAUUUAAGAUUUGUCGAUCGUCCCAACCUUACAUGUGUAACCAUGAUACCUCUUAUGAGACGGGGCUUUGUUGAUGACUUUGGUCGAUGAUAGCGAGAGUGGAGUGGUCACUCUCAUGACGGGGUCGUGCAAGGUAGGGCGACUAUGAGAUGUUUUCACACGCACCAGGCACAUCAUUGUUCCCAUCAUGGAUGUUACGAUCUAGAGCGAGGCUCGUAUGAUGUACAUCAUGAGGGCUGGGUACCAAUCGAGUGGACUCUUUGUUUAGUGUCACCAAGGGAAAACAUUUCUUGGGUGCUUACCUCGGGUAUGAGACAUACCGCAAGUCGUGGAUGGCACGGAAGUUCCCCGAGUCUCGUGGGUACAACGCGCAACCUCUGCAAAGUGUAAACUAUUCGAAUAGUCGAGUCCAUCCUCAAACACAGUUGGGUAGUGCUACUUAAACUACAUCCAGUUGUUUUUGCAUAAACCAAAUAAGUGUGUGUGUGUGUAAUUAUGUGGAAAAGAUGAUGAUAUGAGAAUGAUGAUACUUGAGCUAGGUCUGACGACUUGGUACGGGAAUUGAACGUGGGACGUUCAACCCCGGCUUAUGAUGAUGAUUAUAGCUUGCUCAUAUGGAUACCUAGAACAAGUUGAUGCACGUUGUACAAGAUUAAUCAUGUCAUUGCACUCAAAAACUAGCUUUCCGCAAAACUUACCUACUUAGUGCUAGAUCAUGAAUUAUUAUUGCCUUGCUCCACAUCAUGGGUUGCUUGUGAGUACAUUCAAAGUACUCAUUGGCUUGCCACUGGUUAUUUAAUUGGCCAGGCAUGGAAGAGUAGGAAUAUGGAGAAUUUUUGGUAGGAGACGAACACGCGAACUAGGACACUUCACAGUCAGCAUGCCUGUAGGUUUAAGGUAGAUAACUCGGGUUCACACUUUCGAUCAAGAUUUUUGUUGCUCGUUAUGUUUGGUGUGUUGACCUUCGAGGCCCUAUCUAUGAUAGACUUGACCUUUAUGGUCUCUAUUUGUAUCUGAGGGUAUGUAUGGACAUAAGAUUCUUGUUAUUCAGUUUCUGUGUCUUUAGUGAGCAUUGAUCUCUGGGAUCACCGUACACGUGCAUUUGGUCACCACGAUAUAUAAGUAGGGGUCCCAAAGAGCUGGUACCAAAGCCAUCCUGGUUGUAGGAAGCCUUCGUUAGCAUGGACGUCAGAUAGGAUAAACCCCUUUUCCCAAACUAUACCUAAUACCUAUACUUAGGAUUUUAUGUACUUCUUACCUCUUCCCAUCUACUUCCAAAAGCAUGCUGACACCCUCCCCUUAAUACUUUGUAGAUGGUCGUCGUACCUAGAGACCUCAUAGCAUCCAACUUUCCCCUACUCCUUGAGUAUAGCCUGGAGAAGUGUGAGUUCCGUCGAUCACCCGUUUUCCUCUACAAUGAGCACUGGGUCGAUGCCAGCACGAAGGAGUACCACAUUGAUGUGGUCGUGAAGGCAAAUGACUACUUGAUGAGUUGGUUCUUUGAAGGACCACAGAUGGAGACCUUGGCACUAGCAAUUGAGACACUUGCACAGAAGGCACCUGUCCACCUUCGAGACAUCAUUCCAGAGAUGGAUGAUGAGUCGGCUACUCACCACUUCCCGUUUAAAAAGGACGAUAGUGGGGAGAGUUGGACAUUGACCCCAUCCCCAGAGGAUGGAAGACCACUAAGAUUCUAGACCUACUUUGGCCUCUCCGCCGACAGUCUAGCUCAUAGCCUGAUUAAGGAGUCUGUGAGGCUCCACGAGGAACUUCACCGCACUCGUGAGCUACUCCGACUGGCCAAGGUGAAACCAGAUAAGAUCAAGAAGGAUGGAGCCCCCGAGGGACGACCAGCUGUCGCAUACCGAGGAGGAGUACCCCAGCCAUAGAUGCACCCACACGACGUCAUUGCAUGAGUGCGAAGGAGUAUUGUGGGCUCUUCAGUAUUCCACCGACAAAGUGUCGUCCGGAUAAACCUCUUCGUCCUCCGACCCCCUCGAUGUUAGACGAUGCCCGUACACACUAUGACUAGGAGGAAGACCCAGAGGAAUGUGACUACAAGACUGAGCAGUCCACCACUUGAAUCCGAGGACCACUAGGGUAGGAUAAGCCAUUCGAAGUCGAGUCUGUGUAAUGGUUCAUAUGAAGUCAUAUGUGCUUAUUGUUUGUUUUACUAUUUAUGUCUUGAUGCAAGUCGCAUUUUUUGCCUUAGGCGACAUGUAAGUGACUACAUCUCCUAUCUUAUCUUAAUGAUAUGCGGUGGGUCUUUUCGACCUUUGUUUGUCACACUUGCACUAUACCAACCCCCUUAGGCGCACAUUUUCUCUUGUUACCUUAUCUUGCAUUUAUCAGUUGUUUGACUGUGUCGCUCCAAAUAGGAUGGUGACUACGACUCACACCAGGACUUUUGCCAACCCUAGCAUCGGCAGCGCUAGCCAGCAGUCGGAGGCUGGUGGGUCUUCUCAAGUUGGAGGUCGCCAGGAGCGGCCACAACAUGACAUUCCCCCGCCACCUCCUCCAAUCGAGAACAUGACCAUAUCUCAGGUCCUCCAAGUUCUUCGGGAGGAGUGCCAAGCUAAUGCUACCCCUAUGCAUCAGUUGGCCCAGACCCUUGUGAAAAACUAUCAGCGGGGCAAGAACGGCAAUGGCUGCUCCACUCUGUUAGAGUUCAUGAGGAGUUUUUCACCAACCAUCACUGAGACUACUGAGCCUUUGGAUGCUGAUGACUGGAUCCACACCAUCGAGGCCCCCCUUCCGUUGGUCACCUUUAAUGAGGAUUGUGAGAAGGUUCUUUAUGCCUCUCACUGCCUCGGAGGUACCGCCAGAUCUUGGUGGGAUGGGUUCAAGGUUAUACAAGGCGACCGUGUUAUCACUUGGACUGAUUUCAAGCAACGGUUCCGCACCAGUCACAUCCCAUCUCAGAUUAUGGCUAUCAAGAAACAUGAAUUUUUAGCGUUUAAGCAAAAAAGUGGCUCUGUCAAGGAAUACCUACAAAAGUUCAACCUUCUAUCGAGGUAUGCAGCUGAAGACGUCAGCACUAAAGUAGCCAAGAUAGAACGCUUCAUGGAAGGGCUCCAGCAAGCCGUGUAGUAUCAACUUGUUGUCUGUGCUGUCGGACCUUCUUCGAGCUGGUGAACAAGGCUCUUAUGCUAGAAGACAAUCAUCGUCCCAUGGAGGACACUAGCAAACUCAAGAUGAUCACCAAGGGCAGCUCCAGCAACCAGAAGCCUCGCCCUUCGCAACCGGCCCCAGCAAAACCAACUUAUCAGCCUCAGCAAGUUAGGCCCCCUGCACCUCGUCCGAGCUACCAGCCUCAGCAGUAUGACAACCCCAGGCUGGCAUACAACAAACCCAACAACAGUGAUUCCAACAACAAGAAUUCAGGACAGGUCACCUUUUUUUGUUGUGGACAGCCUGGGAACUUCUCAAGGUUGUGCCCCAACAAGAAGCCCGAUGCACCACGCACCAAUGCGCCAAAUCAAGGACAAGGCCAUAGAGCGCCACCCAAGAACCCCGCUCCCCGCAACCAUCCCAACUAUGGAAAAUCUCGCGUGAACCACGUCACCACCGAGGAAGCCCAAGAAGCCCGGAUGUUUUUGUGGGUACGUUCCUUGUCAACUCAACCCCAACAACAAUAUUGUUUGAUUGUGGUGCUUCACAUUAUUUUGUUACUUACAAGUUUGCACAAAAGAGUGGCACGGAGACCACACCUUUGGGUAGUCUAGCGAUGGUACAAACCCCGGGUGCGGUAUUAAGGUCGAAUAUAGGCUAUAAAGGAGUUGUGAUUAAUAUCAAUGAUGUAGACUUCCUGGCAGAUCUUAUCAUCGUGAAGUAUGGCAAGAGGGAUGUCACUAUGACCAAUAGACAAGGAGUUGAGUUGGACCAAGUGUCAGUGGUCUGUGAGUACCCGGAUGUCUUUCAUGACAAACUGCACGGAAUACCUCGUUACCGAGACAUCGAGUUCAUUAUUAGGCUAAUGCCCGGAUCAAGACCCAUCUAUAAGUAGCCCUAUAGAAUGGGGUCCAUAGUAUUGGCUUAGUUGAAGAGACAACUCGCUGAGCAGCUCACGAAAAAGAUUUAUCUGCCCUAGUGCCUCUCCUUGGAAAUCUCAUGUUCUAUUUGUGUCCAAGAGGGACGGAACUAUUAGACUCUAUAUUGAUUAUCGUUCCAUCAAUGAAGUCACAAUAAAGAACAAUUAUGCACUCCCCAAGAUUGAAGACAUGUUCGAUCAUUUGAAUCGUGCCAAAGAAUUCUCCAAGAUCGACCUCAGGUCUGGUACUACCAACUGAAGAUUAGACCCAAAGAUAUUCUGAAGACGGCGUUCGUAACCCGGUAUGGCCUGUAUGAGUGCAUGGUCAUGUCAUUUGGGUUAACCAAUGUGCCAACCCACUUCAUGUACCUCAUGAACAAAGUCUUCAUGUAGUAUUUGGACAUGUUUAUCGUUGUCAUCAUCAACGACAUACUUGUCUUCUCCAAGUCUGUAGGAGAACAUGACCAACACUUGAGGAUGGUCCUGGACAAGCUUCAAGAGCACCAACUUUAUGCCAGAUUCAGCAAGUUUGAAUUCUGGCUGCAUGAAGUUCGAUUCUUGGGUCUUGUGACGACAACAUAAGGGUUGCCAGUUGAUCCUACCAAGAUUGAGGCUAUGACGACGUGGCAUUCUCCUACCAAUGUGAAGGAAGUUAGAAGCUUACUCGGAGUCGCGGUAUAUUACUGCAAGUUUGUCGAAGGGUUCUAAAGCAUCGCCGACCAAUGACGCAGCUCUUGAAUAAGGACAAGAAGUUCGAAUGGACGCUAAAGUGUGACGAGUGCUUCCAGGAGCUCAAGAAGAAAUUGACAACGGCCCCAAUUUUGGCUAACCCCGAUACCCGCAAGCAAUUUGUGAUAUAUUCUGACGCAUGAAGGUCCGGGCUUGGCGGUGUCCUGAUACAAGAAGGUAAAUUCGUAGCCUAUCUAUCCAAACACCUACACCCUCACAAAGAGAACUUCCCCACUCAUGAUCUGGAGCUGGCAGCGGUAGUUCAGGCCUUGAAGACAUGGCGACUUUACCUUCUGGGUAAGCGAUGUAAGAUAUACCUACACCACAAGACUUUGAAGUAUAUGUUCACUCAAAAGGAAUUGAACAUGAGGCAUCGAAGAUGGUUUGAGUUGAUCAAAGACUACGACCUAAGCGUUCAAUACCACCACGGAAAGGCCAAUGUGGUGGCUGAUGCCUUGAGUAGAAAGGCUUGUUCCUUGAAUGCUAUGGUCAACGAAAGGCUACCCGCCUUGUAUGAAGAGCUUUAAAGCUUUGGGUUGGAGCUAGUCGCACCAGGACUCCUGGCCAACCUCGAAGCAAUGCCUACAUUAAUGGACGACAUGAAGGAAGCUCAGAAGAGACACGAGAGCAUCGAAGGAAUCAAGAAGAAGAUCCGUAAAGGCAAAGCCCCAGGAUUCUUAGUGGAUGCAUAAGGAGAUGUAUAGUUUGGAAAUCGCAUUUGCGUGCCCAGCAAAGUUGAACUGAAGAACAUGAACUUGCCGCAAGCACACGACACUCCGUAUUCCAUCCACCCUAGAGGAACCUGUCACACCGUGUUUUCACCUUAUUUAAACAGUAGUCUCUUCAAAACUUGAGUUUAUUAAAAAACAUUAAGCAAGUGCUAUGAGUGUCGUGAUUGCCAUUGUAUGUAUGUAUGCUUGAGUGAGUGUAUCCAAAAACAAUAUUUUUAUAACAUGAUAUUUCCAAAAAGAUCCUUUUCUCAUUUUGACUAUUUCAAAACCUUGCUUUGGGUUUGAACUACAAGACCCUCAUCCCAAGCGAGUGCCUUCAUCCAAAGAUUGUAUUCUGAUUUUAGCACUAAUAUAACUCUCCAAAAUCAUAAAAUAAUUACUUUAUAAAAUGUUUUUCUAUUUUAUUUCCAUGUCCUUUUCUGAGGCCGGAAAUGAUAUUUCUGAAUGGAAAAUUAUUUUUUUGCCUUAGAAAAAUCUGAGAAAAAUUGGAAAUACUCACACGACAUAUAUUUUCCAUACAUAAGAUUUUCAACCCCUAUUUAUGUUCAAAUUAUUUGAUCAAAUCCUUGAAAACCUAUUAUGUCUGUUUUGACAUUUUGAAAUAUUUUCAAGAAAUUCUAAGAAAAUUCUAGCAUGCUUCCAAAGCUAUAUUUGGUGGUCAUGCCAAGUUUCACCUCAUUCCAAGAUGGUUUGGUUCACCAAAUAUUCCUAAAACCUUCCCAGUCCAGAAUCAAGUUGUAGCAAGUCUACAUAGCAAAGUUUGUCCAUAUGGCAUGAAACUUUGGAGGAGUGCUCAACACCCCAAAUGAGGAGACCCUGCCAAAAAUUGGAUUUGUGGGGAUUAAUUUACCCACAUUCUCUUUUAAACGGACAAAACUGCCCAUUUGGGGGUGAUUUCAAGUUUGCACUGUCGAACUUGUCCAAUGGAGCUCAACGUUGGUGGAGCAUCCUAGUUUUGCAUAAAACCAAAUCCUCUUAACUUCUGGCAUCAGCGGUGGAGGUUAACUACCCCAAACACAUAUCAAACAACUUCUGCCAGUAUGGUCAAAUAACACUUAACAUCCUCUACACCCACUCCCUCCCAUCAAACUCUCAGUGCACGCUGAGAGCACCACUCCUCAAUUGCAGACGAGUGGCCCCUCUCUGGUUCCAAGAAGGAAAGCCAAAAACCCCAAUUUAGUCUCUGAUUCAAGGCUGACAGCCUCUCUCCAAGCACUUCCUUUGACCAACAAUGAGUCCCUCGGCUCCCAAGCGGCUAAGGGGCAUUUAUGACAACCCCCGAACAUGCCAGAUAGGGCCAAAGCACCGUACAGCGCGCUAGCAUGCCGUGGCAUGCCAAAACAUGCGCUCUGGGCGCGCUACAGUGCGCACCCGAGGCAAAGGAGGCCAGCCCCGGCCGGUUCUCACCUCCCCUAGGUGUCCCUCUGCGUCUUCGACAAACCUCCUGACUUGGGGCAGCCCCAGGGCCCCUUCUCCCCCUCUCUGCUGACCAGGGCGAUGCGUGCCCGCACGCGCCAGAUUCGGCCAGAAGUGCGCGGCCCCGUAGCACGCACACAAUGAGCCUCCUCUCUCUCUCUCGUUGAGUCUCUGGGGUCUCAAACCACGUCCGUGAAACCGUGGUAUCGACCCAGAGCCCUCUCUCCCUCUCUUGCAGCCGCGAUGAAACCACCGGCGCUGCCCGCUUGGUGCAUCAUUGCUAGCCUAUAAAUAGGCCCUCCCCCUUCAAUCCAGCACCUCACACCACUCCUCCAGACCCUCAAUCGAGGCCCUAGCCACUCCAUUCAAGCAGAGAGAGCUCCGGUGCUCGAGGUCGACCGAGGCCCCGCCGCUUUGGAGCUUCGUCAAUCUCGGGCUACAGGCCAGCUCUUGCGCUCCUCUCACCUCCUCCGUGACCGUAGAGAGUUCAGCAAGCCUCCACACCUCUUAGUAGAGCAUUUCCCUGUCCGUAGUACCCAACUCCACCACCACCCGUAUCACCUCCGUCGGGGCCACCUCGUCGCCGGUGACCAAGGGCCUCCCCGUCGUUCAUUCGACAAACAACAGGUAGGCGAUGAUCCCACGGUGCCAUUCCUGCCGUGACCUGGACUCGAGGGCGUCAGAAUCGCCGCCGCCCUGCCUCCCCUCCUCUCUGUACAGAGGAGGAAGACGACCCCGACAGGCAUGCCCCACAUAUCGGUGGCCAGUCUCUCCCCCUCUCUCCUGUCUUUGCCGCUAACCGUAGGGGCCUGUGCGUCACGUUCAAACCUGACGGCGCGCGUGCACCUAGGCUGCUGGCUGGCUAACUAGCCGGUUGGCCAGUUGGGCCGGCCUAGCCAUUGGCCGAGCCAGGACAGGGUUAAGCCAUUUUUCUUUUUCUUUCUAUUUUGAUUCCAAAUUAUUUUUGUAAAGUUAAAUAUUUAAUCAAAUAGAAAUAUUUUCCACCACAAUUCUUCUCAAAAUGUGUAGAAUUUAUUAGUGUUGUUGCACAAAUUUUUGUAAAUACUUUUAUGCAUGGCUUUGAUUAAAAUGCCUAGUUUAAAUAUUUUAGCCCCUAUUAAUUAGGUUUUAAAAAUAACUUUUUAAAGUGAGUUUGUGCUCUAUUUUGGAAUGAGCUUCUUGGGGGGGGGGGGUAUUACGACGAUAGAUUCCGGGUUCGACGAAGGACUUGAACCCGAAGACCGCGGAUAACUAGCUGAUCAAGGCAAGCAGCCCUUUGACCAUGUGUGGGAAAAAAUAUGCAAUACAUGUUGAUUAUUUUAUUCCGAUGCAUCUAGUUAAGACUAACCGGUACACCCCGACAUGGUGUUUCCGAUGGCUCCUCUGGAGCACUUGCAUUGAGCAUGACCUUACCAUCUAUGAGGAUCAUGCUGAUAAAAAGUUGACAUGUAAUAGUAGUGCUACGCAUAGGAUGAGCAUAUCCAUAAUGAUGUUAACACAAAGAUGAAAACAAAGGUUUUAUGAAAACCUCGUUGGGUGCCACUAAUGCCCGAGGGAGAUGGUUUUGAGCUGGAUGACCACUUGAGAAAUAAGUGGUGUACCGGAAAGUUUUUGUGUGAGUGGCUUCGGAAAUUGGAUUGAUUGAUGAUGUGUCGACCGUCCCAACCUUACAUGUGCGACCACGAUACCCAUUUAUGGGACGGGGCUUUGUUGACUACUUUGGUCGGUGCUAGCAAAGAGGCCAUAUUUCUUGUGGCAGGAGUGAUAUGUGGUCACUCCCGUGAUGGGGUCGUACCAGGUAGGUCUACUAUUCCAUUUUUACGUGUUCCGGGCACACCGUUGGUCCCUGCAUGGAUGAUACAUUCCAGAGUUUGUGCUCGUAAGACGUACAUCAUGUGGGUUGGAUACCUAUCGAGUGGACUCUUUGUCUGGUGUCUCCAGGGGAAACGCAAUGAUCGGGUACUUACCUCGGUUAUAUUAUAUACCGCGAGUCGUGUAUGACAAGGAAGUUUCCCGGAUCUCGUGCGUACAUCGUACAACCUUUGCAGAGUCUAAAACUAUUUGAAUAACCGUGUCCACGAUCAAGGACAAUUGGGUGGUGUUUCUUAAACUACGUCCAGUCGUUUCUGCAUAAAUUAUGAGUGUGUGUGUGUGUGGGUAAAAAGGCGUUGUCUGAGAAAGAUGAUAUGACAAGUUCGGUGACUUGGCAUAUAGGGUGAACAUGUGGUAUACAACCCUCAACAAAUAUGUUGAUAUAUGCGACCUGUUCUUAAGAUUACCAUCUAGCUUAUGAUGCAUAUCCACACAAGUACUUCAUGAUGUUCAUUUUCGAUUAAAACUUUCUUUCCGCAAAGACUGCAUAUUAUUUUAUUAUUGCAACUGCAUUAUCCGUAUCAUGGGUUGUUUGCGAGUACAUUCAAUGUACUCACUGGCUUGCCACUAGUUAUGUUAUUGACCAGACAUGGAGGAACCGGAGUUCGGAGAAGAAUUCGUCACCAGAGACGGACACAUGAACUAGGACGCUUCCCAGUUACAAUGCCUGUUGGUGAAGGCUGAUGGCAUGGGUUCCCGUUUAUUACCAAGAUUUCUGCUAGUAGUUGUAUUGGUGCGAUUGGCCGUAUAGGCCCUACCUAUGUGAGACUUGACCAUGGUGGUCCUCUGUUGUACCGAAUGGUAUGCUUGGAUGUAAUACUCUUAAUAUUCAGUAUGUGUGUGUUCGGUGAGCAUUGAUCUCUGGGAUCACUGAGCAUGUUCAUUGGGCGGUCUCGACUCGUAAGUCGGGGUCCCCAUAGAGCCAAGAUGUACCAAGACCUCAAGGAAAGAUUCUGGUGGCAUGGCAUGAACAGGGAAAUAUCUUAUUAUGUCGCUAAGUACGACAUAUGCUAGGGGUCAAAGUUGAGCAUCCGGACCCGUUGUACUAUUACAGCUCCUCAAGGUGCUAGAUUGGAAGUCAGACAAGGUCGGGGUGGACUUUAUCACCGAUCUGCCCAUGUCAAGCAAAGGUUAUGAUUCAUUUGGGUCAUUGUCGACCACCUGACCAAGGUAGCCCAUUUCAUUCCAGUCAAAACCACCUAUUAUGGAAGCAAGCUAGCCAACCUCUACAUCAACCGCAUCAUGAGUCUGCAUGAUAUUCCAAAGGAUAUCGUGGCAGAUCAAGGAACUCGGUUCACCUCAAGGUUAUGUAAGCAGGUCCAUGAAGCUAUGGGAACCAAGCUCUCUUUCAGCACUGCUUUCCAACCUCAGACACGCGGACAGAUGGAACAAGUAAAUUAGGUACUCGAGGACAUGCUCCAUGCUUGUGUUUUAAUAUAUGGAGACAAGUGGGAGAACUGUUUGGCCUUUGCCUACUUCUCCUACAACAACAACUAUCAGUCCAGUCUACAGAUGGCAGCAUUUUAGGUGUUGUAUGGACGCAAGUGCCGCACUCCCCUCAACUGGUCUAAGACCGGAUAAAUACUGAUCUUUGGACCAGAUAUUCUCUGAGAAGACGAGGAGCAAAUUCAACUCGUCAGGGAACGUCGCGAGACCACCAAGUCAAGACGGAAGAUCUACGCCAACUCGCACGGCCGAGAAGUGGACUUCAUCGCCGGAGAUUAUGUAUACCUCUCCGUCACGCCUCUGAAGGGAACAAAGCGUUUCCACGUCAAGGGAAAAACCACACCAAGAUGCAUUUGCCCCUUAAGAUCACCGCUAGGCAAGGAAAAGUUGCUUACCAGUUGGAGCUAUCACUCGAGCUUUCGAAUGUGCACAACGUCUUUCACGUGUCUCAGCUCCGGAAGUGCCUCCAAGUUCCCGACCGUCCGGACCUCUAUAAGGACAUUGAUCAUCAAGCCAUUGACCUUCAGCCAUACCUCGUUUAUCGAGGGAGACCAAUCUGCAUCUUGGAUGAAGCCAAGGGUUACACCCGAAGCCGCACCAUCAAGUACUUUAAUGUCCAGUGGAGCAACCACACCAAAGCAGAAGCAACAUGGGAGCAUGAAGACUACCUUAGAUCCAAGUUCCCUUAUCUUUUUAGAGCUUAGCCUAGGAAUCUCGGGGACGAGAUUCUUGUAAAGGGCUGAUCUGUCACACCCUGUGUUUGUACCACUUUGCCACAUUAUGUUUUUGCAAAAUUUGGAACCAAUUAAAACUUUUUGAGUGAUUGUGAUGGUUGUUUUGAUUGCAACAUGCUUGUGUGAUUGAUUGUGUUCUAAGUCACCAAAGUUAUUCUUCUCUCCAAAACUUCCUCUCCUGGAUCCAAAACCUUGCCUAAUGACCUUGCCAUGUGUAUAGGACUAGGAACUACUUUUAUUAAAAUAUCAUCUCAACAAAAGGGAAUUUAUUUAUUUUAAAAGUUUCAAAACCACUCAAUUGGGAUUUGCAUUACCAGGAGGGUUGUUAUACCCCAAAGAUUUUAUUUUGAUUCUAUUAUCAAAAUGAUUUCCCAAAAACACAAAAUAAUUAAUUUAAAAUUUAUUUCCCUAUUUUAUCUAAACACCCUUUUUGAGGCCAUAAAAGGUAUUUCAUAGGGAAAAUAUUUUUCUUGCUUUGAAAAUAUUUGAGAAAAUUUAGCAAAACUCAGUGGAUAUAUAUUUUCCAUACAUAUGAGUUUCAUCACAUGAUCAUGUUCCAUAUGAAAUAUUUUCCCUCAAAACACUUUCUGCCUAUUUCAAGCCGUUGAAAUAUUUCCAUAUGAAAUAUUCUCAAUAAAAUCCAAGAAAAUUCUAACACGUCACACAUGGUAUAGGUGGUGACCCGGGAAAAUUUCAUCUCAAUCCAAGUUGAUUUGGUUCACCUAAGAACCUCAAAACCCUCCGUGUCCAGAGCCAAACUUGAGCAACUUUACAUUGCCAAGUUUAUCCAAUUGAUCUCAAAUUUUACAAAGGUGAUCUAGGACCAAAAUAAGGAUGCUACACCAAGUUGUGCAUUUGUGGGACUUGAUUUGGUCACCAAAGUCACGAAGAAUCUAAUUAUGUCAAUUCUUGGGUAUUUUCAUGUUUACAUUGCCAACUUUGCUCAAAUGAGCUGAAACUUGGUGAACACUCUUGGUUUCUACCACAAUGCAGUCCUAUUUACUUUCACAACAAUUGGGUAAAGGUAAAUUGUCCAAGCAAUCUUCAAACACCUUCUAGUAGUUUGGUAAAGUUGCCGCUUUCACCACCUUUUCUCAUCUCCUUCACUUCAAUUUUCUACCACAACUUCUCCUAGUGAUGCUCUCCACCCCAGUAACUUUCCCACGACCAUACCUAAAUUUGUUUUGAUUGGGAACUAUAGGAAAACCCCUACAACAUUAAUUUUAUUUUUAAGAAAGGGGAUUUACACGUGUUACAAGGGGUAACAAGGGGGAUUAAAGCUAAAAUUACAGGUAUUUAGAGAUCAAUAAUCAAGUGGUAAGUGUGAGAUCCAUUCCAAGAUGUCAUCCUUGAAGGCUGGCUUAAUUCUGUGCUGCAUGAGAGAAAUACCAUGCACAAAUACUCCUCCCCACCUAUAAAAAUUGGGUCUUUCAUGCCUAAAUACUUUUGCAUUCCUGAUUAUCCAAAUGUUCCAACAAGCAAGGAAUAUCACUUCACACAAGAACGACAUCUUGAAAUCUCUCCUUGCAUUGAUGGUAACUUCUACCAUAGUAUUCCCCUAUGAAUAGUCAAUCUACAAGUAAUUCCAGACUCUAACACUGAAGUGACACUCAAAGAAAUGAGGAUCCCUUGUUUCUUGUUCACCCAAUGGGCAGAGAACACACUAAACACCAUCCUCCAUGUGCCAAUGCCUCCUUUCAACCAUAUCUUUGGUGUUCAGCCUAUGCAUAAUCAACAUCCGUGAAAAGACCUUGAUUUUCAUGGUGCAACAGGACCUCCAAAUCUAAGAGAGCAAAGGAUUAAAAGUAAGGUCGAAUUGCAUGCUCAUAUAGAAACACUUGGGCUUGAAUUGUUUGGAAGAACCCUACCACCACCAAGUAUCAUUGAGAUCUGCAUCUCUUCCAUGGGCCCCUGUCAGAUUUUGCAAGUCCAAAAAUCCUUUUAGGCUUGCUCACACAACGGCAGGUGGAAUAGACCCAUGAGUUGGUGCACAUUGAAAACUUCCUUGGUAGACAUCCAUGGGUCUUUCACAUAAGAAAAGAGCCUAGGGAACCUUGAUUCCAAAGUGGCAAUAUUAUCACCAGUUUUCCAAUGAUAUGAACAAAAGGGACACAGUGUCCCUAGCAUUUAUUGUUACCCAUCUUGAUGGCCUGAAUUGAGUCAGAACUUUGCAAAUAUCCUUCCACCAGAAUGAUCCACAAUCCCUAGUUGGUUGGGGGACUCUUUCACAAUAAUAAGUGCCCAAAAUUAGGGAUACCCAAGGAACAUCUUUUCUAUUCAUGAAGUGAUUUGCAUGCUUUAGCAGUAAUACCACAUUCUGGAUUCCAAGAUUCAUGAUUCCAUGUCUUCCCUUAGCUUUGGGUGUGCAAACCAAGUCCCAGGCAACAAGAGAAGGAGCAGGUCCAUCCUUAUGUUUCCCCCAAAGAUACUGUAUCUGAAUUCUCUCAAGCUAUUUAGGGAUGCCAAGAGGAAUAGCUAAGCUACUUUAGAAGAACACUGGCAGUGAAGAUAAGACACAAUAAAGGAAUUGCAACCUUUACCAUGGGUUAAGGAAAGCAGAACUGGCAGUCAUUUUCCUUUCUAUGCAGUCAACCAAUGGCAUGAAAUCCACCAUCUUUGGUCCAAAUGUCCCUAGGGGGAGCCCUGAAUAAGUGAAAGGCAUUUUACCCGGUUGACAGGAAAAAGUUUCACAAGUUCCUUUAUGGUCUCAUCAUCAACAUUAAUUGGUAUGAUAGAGAACUUAUGAUAGUUAACAUCAAGCCCACUUGACUGAGAAAAAAUCUUGAGCAUGUCCCUGAGAGCAAGUAAUUGCACCUUAUCAACUGGUAGAAUGAUGAGAGUAUCAUCAGCAUAUUGAACAAUAGGAUAGUCCUGGUGUGGUGACCGGUUUUUCAGAAAAUACUUUCUAGAAAACUAGUCUUUGUGUUCACCAGCCCCAGGACUACUAUUAACUGGUGGACAAUCACUUGAUACAGAAAAUCCAAGAAAAAUACAAAAUCUGGGUUACUAGACCAUGAAGGUCUACUUGUUCGAUCAAAAUUCUGAGGCUGAUGGCGGAUGCGAAUCGAGGAAUCUCCAGUGCCCGUGGGACACCAUUCCCACAGGAACAAUUGACCUGGACAAAUUCCUAUCUCACAAGGCUACUAUCUUGGACUCCUAGGUUCCGGGGUUGAGGGCAUCGUUCUCAUCUCCAAACACAAUCUGGCCAAGACAAUAGCCAGGACAAGCUAGUGACUACUUUGAAUGUACUCCAAAACAUCAAGAAAACAGGUAAGUUAACGCAGGUGAGAUGCAUGUAUAAUCAACUUAAUGACUCUAUCAUGUCGAGACUUGUUUCCACCAAUACUGUACAAACAACAAGGAGGGUAAUUAAUCAAUAAGUUUGUGGAUCGGGCGUCUGAGGCGACACCACAAAAUGACAAGUAACACAAGCCAUACUCGAGCGUCUUAGAGACACCACAUAAAGGGACUUGUCAAUGGAAUAAUACUAACAUGCCACAGUUGCGCGUCUGGAGCGACACCACAAAAAAGGCAUAUAUGAAGGUAAUGAUAAGUAAGUAAUAUCAUGUGUGCCACAAUCAGGCGUCUGAGCGACACCACAAAAAUGACUUAUAUGAAAGAAAUAACAGUUGCCACACUCGGACGUCUAAGCGACACCAUAGGGCUUUAAUGAAAGUAGGGGGGGGGGGGAUAAUGAUGAUGAAUAUCCAGGAAGUAGUACCGUCGCAGGGAUGUUCAACAAUCAUGAUCAUAAGGGUUAGUCCAAAUUAAAUUAAUAAUCAUAAGCAUUCACCAUAUACCACAAAGAUUAGUCCACCUCAAGAUUUCAUAAUAAUAAUAGAGGUGAUCAUCCGGUUUUAUUUUAAUUCCCUCCAAAGACCGACACUCACAUCAACACUUGACUAGUCAACAAGUCGUCCUUGACCGUGGACACAACUACUCGAAUAGUUUUGACUCUUCAGAGGGUGUACAUUUUACCCAAAGCCCACGGGAUUCAAUAGUCACUCAGACUAAUCCCGUGUAUGGUAUUUUAGAAGUAAACACUCAGAAACAGCACACAUCCAUUUUUCCACCGCAAAAACCUGACUCAAAAGGACUACGCUGCCAUGGAAAGACCAUAACAUGGAGAGGCUCCAACCUUGACAAGCAUGGGAUCAAAUUUAUACCGCGCGCUACAAGGGAAGGGCCAUUCCCUCUCGGUACCAGACCGGAAACACCCAUGCCCCCUGACUGGAUGACUGGAUUUAGUCCAGGGCCAUGGAUACCUUCAUCCCGACGUCUCUACUUGGUGUGUACCUGGUACUAGUCUUAUGACAUACUAAACCAUAUUCCCUUUUAGGAAGACAUGUGGAAGCACGUAAAGUAAGGCGACACAUAGACAAGACUCAAUCUACGGUCGACUUAGGAGGUUUAAGAUUUCCUGCAAGGGUAGUACCACAAAAUCUUGCUGAAAGAAUUAUCUCAGUGUUACUACAAUCAGACCUCGACAUGCCUUCAUGGACCACUCUUGUCCCACGAGAUGUGAGGCCCAUGGUCUCAUAUCCACCGUGACAACCUUCCUCCAAGGUCAUCCACACCAACAUAUCAUACGAGGCAUGAGGUAGUACCCACUCACCGUUUGCAUCCCAUAUGUUCGGCAACACAAUUAUCCAUCACAAGCACUCAUGCAAGUAUGAUUUUAUGUGGGGGGUUUAUCAACAUAACCCAAAAUCACGCAAUAAUGCACCACAACAAAUAUCGCACAACUGCGUACAAAUAAGAGUUCAAGAUGCUUGCCUUUGAAGUUUAGGAGGGUGGUGUGCACCCAAAAAUCUUGAAGUAAGCCUCCUCUCUCCAAGUUCCUAUUUUGAAAAUAUUAGAAUUAACACAUAAAUUCAAUAGAUCACAUAAAAGUUGUUUUAAUAUUUUGGAAAUAAAUUUUUAAAUAAACUAGAGGACAUUUUAGAGAGGUAGAAAAAAGAAUCAGUCCAUUUGGAGUUUUCUUUAAAAAGUUAGAGCCAGUUAAAGAUCCUGGUCAAAUCUGUUUUAUUAAGGAAAGAAAAAGAAAACGUUUUGCUUAAAUUGCGCUAAACGAAUAGGGGAGGCGUACUCAUGUUGAUACGCUUUCUCAGGGGGAAGACGUGCUGCGGGGUAGGCGCCAUCACGGGCUUGGGCUGACUCAUCGACACACGGGACCUGCCUGUUAGGUUCCUCUCCUACCUCCCGUGCGUGCACUGGAAAGGGUGAAGAGUGGACGCCGGCGGCGGUUGACGAUGCAAGGGGGUGCCAUCCACGGAGCUGAGCAUGCCGGAAUGCUCGAGAGGGAGGGCCCCAUCAUUUAGGGGACAUGCGGGUAGCAGGGUAGCUCGAGGGCGAGCACAACCCAGGUCAUGGCGGACAGAGAGUUCUGGCGCACCGGCAUCUCCACCACGACCAGCCAUGGAUGGAUUUUGCAGGUGGGUUGGUUAGGUGGGGCUUGAAGAGGUUAGCAAGGGCCAAGGGGGAACGACAGGGGCUCGGAACUGCUGCAAUUUUGCCGGAGGCAGACGGAGGAGCUGCGGCCAGAGAGGAGUAGAGCGAGCGGCUCCGGCUAAAUUGGAGCGAGGGGGAGGCUCCUAAGGGUCCAUGGAUGGCGCUGGUUACUCAAAUGGAGCUCGAGACCUCCUUUUAUAGCCGUCCCG